CACGGGGGGAGCAAGCGUUGUUCGGAAUCACUGGGCGUAAAGGGCGUGUAGGCGGUCAGGUAAGUGAGAUGUGAAAUGCCCCGGCUCACCCGGGGACCGGCAUCUCAUACUGCUUGGCUUGAGUACGGGAGAGGAGAGUGGAAUUCCCGGUGUAGCGGUGAAAUGCGCAGAUAUCGGGAAGAACACCCGUGGCGAAGGCGGCUCUCUGGGACGGUACUGACGCUGAGACGCGAAAGCGUGGGGAGCGAACAGG
This 253-nucleotide ribosomal RNA is filed under the name uncultured bacterium. Its description in RNAcentral is "partial 16S ribosomal RNA". It matches the Rfam family "Bacterial small subunit ribosomal RNA", at positions 524 to 776 of the family's 1533-position model. The record is from RNAcentral.